Molecule: ribosomal RNA, 687 nt
Filed under: Triticum aestivum (bread wheat)
Lineage: Eukaryota; Viridiplantae; Streptophyta; Magnoliopsida; Poales; Poaceae
Description: partial small subunit ribosomal RNA
Source: RNAcentral
GGGUUACGUGAUUCGUCAGAAAAAGGAAUGAUAGUUACUUUUUUCUCUAUAACAGGAUUGUUAGUUUCUCGUUGGGCUUCUCUGAGACAUUUUCCAUUAACUAAUUUAUAUGAGUCAUUGAUCUUUCUUUCAUGGGAUCUAUAUAUUCUCCACACCAUUCCUAAAAUGUAGAACUCUAAAAAUGAUUUAAGCACAAUAACUAUGCCAAGUACCAUUUUAACGCGAGGCCUUGCCACUUUGGGUCUUUUAACUGAAAUGCAUCAAUCCACGAUACUAAUACCUACCCUACAAUCUCAGUGAUUAAUGAUGCAUGUCACUAUGGUGUUAUUAAGCUAUGCAACUCUUUUGUGUGGAUCCUUAUUAUUUGCCGCUAUUAUAAUCAUUAGAUUUUGAAAUAAAUUCCAUUUCUUUUCUAAAAUGAAACUAAUGUUUUAGAUUAAACAUUUCUCUUUGGUGAGAUUAUAUUUUUGUGUGAAAAUAAGUGCUUUAAAAAGCACCUCGGUCCCUUCAUUUCUAACUUGCUAUUAAUAUCAAUUAAUAGAGUAUUUGGAUUCUGGGAGUUACUGUGUCAUUAGCCUAGGAUUUACCCUUUUAACCAUAGGUAUUCCCAGUAGAGCAUUAUGGGCUAAUGAGGCCUUGGGAUCCUAUACUCUUACAUGUUUGUUCUAUUGUUUCAAAAAAGUCUAA